GUAACACGUGGGUAACCUGCCUGUAAGACUGGGAUAACUCCGGGAAACCGGGGCUAAUACCGGAUGCUUGUUUGAACCGCAUGGUUCAAACAUAAAAGGUGGCUUCGGCUACCACUUACAGAUGGACCCGCGGCGCAUUAGCUAGUUGGUGAGGUAAUGGCUCACCAAGGCAACGAUGCGUAGCCGACCUGAGAGGGUGAUCGGCCACACUGGGACUGAGACACGGCCCAGACUCCUACGGGAGGCAGCAGUAGGGAAUCUUCCGCAAUGGACGAAAGUCUGACGGAGCAACGCCGCGUGAGUGAUGAAGGUUUUCGGAUCGUAAAGCUCUGUUGUUAGGGAAGAACAAGUACCGUUCGAAUAGGGCGGUACCUUGACGGUACCUAACCAGAAAGCCACGGCUAACUACGUGCCAGCAGCCGCGGUAAUACGUAGGUGGCAAGCGUUGUCCGGAAUUAUUGGGCGUAAAGGGCUCGCAGGCGGUUUCUUAAGUCUGAUGUGAAAGCCCCCGGCUCAACCGGGGAGGGUCAUUGGAAACUGGGGAACUUGAGUGCAGAAGAGGAGAGUGGAAUUCCACGUGUAGCGGUGAAAUGCGUAGAGAUGUGGAGGAACACCAGUGGCGAAGGCGACUCUCUGGUCUGUAACUGACGCUGAGGAGCGAAAGCGUGGGGAGCGAACAGGAUUAGAUACCCUGGUAGUCCACGCCGUAAACGAUGAGUGCUAAGUGUUAGGGGGUUUCCGCCCCUUAGUGCUGCAGCUAACGCAUUAAGCACUCCGCCUGGGGAGUACGGUCGCAAGAC
RNAcentral lists this ribosomal RNA (800 nucleotides) under Bacillus subtilis. RNAcentral's name for it is "bacterial SSU rRNA". It matches the Rfam family "Bacterial small subunit ribosomal RNA", at positions 110 to 894 of the family's 1533-position model. The record is from RNAcentral. Lineage: Bacteria; Bacillati; Bacillota; Bacilli; Caryophanales; Bacillaceae.